This 467-nucleotide ribosomal RNA is filed under the name uncultured bacterium. RNAcentral's name for it is "partial 16S ribosomal RNA". It matches the Rfam family "Bacterial small subunit ribosomal RNA", at positions 28 to 506 of the family's 1533-position model. The record is from RNAcentral.
GACGAACGCUGGCGGCGUGCUUAACACAUGCAAGUCGAACGGAAAGGCCCUGCUUUUGUGGGGUGCUCGAGUGGCGAACGGGUGAGUAACACGUGAGUAACCUGCCCUUGACUUUGGGAUAACUUCAGGAAACUGGGGCUAAUACCGGAUAGGAGCUCCUGCUGCAUGGUGGGGGUUGGAAAGUUUCGGCGGUUGGGGAUGGACUCGCGGCUUAUCAGCUUGUUGGUGGGGUAGUGGCUUACCAAGGCUUUGACGGGUAGCCGGCCUGAGAGGGUGACCGGCGACAUUGGGACUGAGAUACGGCCCAGACUCCUACGGGAGGCAGAAGUGGGGAAUAUUGCACAAUGGGCGGAAGCCUGAUGCAGCAACGCCGCGUGCGGGAUGACGGCCUUCGGGUUGUAAACCGCUUUCGCCUGUGACGAAGCGUGAGUGACGGUAAUGGGUAAAGAAGCAGCGGCUAACUACGU